CUCUGUUGGCUGGAGUUGUCCUCACAGGCUUCCUCUUCAGGAUGAACAAGAGACGCUGCACAAUGGUCCAGAACUCACUGUUUGACCUCUUUGACUGCAAAACAGGUGACACACAACAUGGAGCUGAAUCAGACCUUUCCUUUGACAACAGGCUGUACGAAAUCGACGCCAGUGUGGGUUCAUCUGACACUUAGACCAGAUUCAUGAUUAUAAUAAAACAAAUCCACCAUAAAGUAUGUAAAUUAUUCCUGUGAACUUCUGAUUCCACUAAAACCAUGUACAAGAUGAAACCGUCAAGUGGUUU
Long non-coding RNA from Limanda limanda (common dab), 304 nucleotides. RefSeq lists it as uncharacterized. The record is from RefSeq and is a predicted model, not a curated record. The transcript is spliced from 3 exons. Lineage: Eukaryota; Metazoa; Chordata; Actinopteri; Pleuronectiformes; Pleuronectidae.